RNAcentral lists this transfer RNA (72 nucleotides) under Camelus dromedarius (Arabian camel). It matches the Rfam family "tRNA". Rfam says of the family: Transfer RNA (tRNA) molecules are approximately 80 nucleotides in length. RNAcentral also lists the same sequence under 1 other name. The record is from Rfam by way of RNAcentral. Lineage: Eukaryota; Metazoa; Chordata; Mammalia; Artiodactyla; Camelidae.
GAAGGUGUAGCUAGGUGGUAGAGUGCGUGCCUAGCAUGCACAAGGUCUUAGGUUCAAUCCCCAGUACCUCCA